This 440-nucleotide ribosomal RNA is filed under the name uncultured bacterium. Its description in RNAcentral is "partial 16S ribosomal RNA". It matches the Rfam family "Bacterial small subunit ribosomal RNA", at positions 338 to 795 of the family's 1533-position model. The record is from RNAcentral.
CCUACGUGAGGCUGCAGUGGGGAAUAUUGGACAAUGGGGGAAACCCUGAUCCAGCGACGCCGCGUGAGUGAAGAAGUAUUUCGGUACGUAAAGCUCUAUCAGCAGGAAAGAAAAUGACGGUACCUGACUAAGAAGCCCCGGCUAACUACGUGCCAGCAGCCGCGGUAAUACGUAGGGGGCAAGCGUUAUCCGGAUUUACUGGGUGUAAAGGGAGCGUAGACGGCAGCGCAAGUCUGGAGUGAAAUGCCGGGGCACAACCCCGGAACUGCUCUGGAAACUGUGAAGCUGGAGUGCAGGAGAGGUAAGCGGAAUUCCUGGUGUAGCGGUGAAAUGCGUAGAUAUCAGGAGGAACACCGGCGGCGAAGGCGGCUUACUGGACUGUAACUGACGUUGAGGCUCGAAGGCGUGGGGAGCAAACAGGAUUAGAUACCCGAGUAGUC